UGCUUGCACCGAGCGGAUGAGUUGCGAACGGGUGAGUAACGCGUAGGUAACCUGCCUCUUAGCGGGGGAUAACUAUUGGAAACGAUAGCUAAUACCGCAUAAAAGUCGAUAUCGCAUGAUAUUGAUUUGAAAGGUGCAAUUGCAUCACUAAGAGAUGGACCUGCGUUGUAUUAGCUAGUUGGUGAGGUAACGGCUCACCAAGGCGACGAUACAUAGCCGACCUGAGAGGGUGAUCGGCCACACUGGGACUGAGACACGGCCCAGACUCCUACGGGAGGCAGCAGUAGGGAAUCUUCGGCAAUGGGGGCAACCCUGACCGAGCAACGCCGCGUGAGUGAAGAAGGUUUUCGGAUCGUAAAGCUCUGUUGUAAGAGAAGAACGAGUGUGAGAGUGGAAAGUUCACACUGUGACGGUAACUUACCAGAAAGGGACGGCUAACUACGUGCCAGCAGCCGCGGUAAUACGUAGGUCCCGAGCGUUAUCCGGAUUUAUUGGGCGUAAAGCGAGCGCAGGCGGUUAGAUAAGUCUGAAGUUAAAGGCUGUGGCUUAACCAUAGUACGCUUUGGAAACUGUUUAACUUGAGUGCAGAAGGGGAGAGUGGAAUUCCAUGUGUAGCGGUGAAAUGCGUAGAUAUAUGGAGGAACACCGGUGGCGA
This 655-nucleotide ribosomal RNA is filed under the name uncultured Bacilli bacterium. Its description in RNAcentral is "bacterial SSU rRNA". It matches the Rfam family "Bacterial small subunit ribosomal RNA", at positions 77 to 718 of the family's 1533-position model. Lineage: Bacteria; Bacillati; Bacillota; Bacilli. The record is from RNAcentral.